Molecule: ribosomal RNA, 379 nt
Filed under: uncultured Fusobacterium sp.
Lineage: Bacteria; Fusobacteriati; Fusobacteriota; Fusobacteriia; Fusobacteriales; Fusobacteriaceae
Description: bacterial SSU rRNA
Rfam family: Bacterial small subunit ribosomal RNA
Source: RNAcentral
GCCGCGGUAAUACGUAUGUCACGAGCGUUAUCCGGAUUUAUUGGGCGUAAAGCGCGUCUAGGUGGUUAUGUAAGUCUGAUGUGAAAAUGCAGGGCUCAACUCUGUAUUGCGUUGGAAACUGUAUAACUAGAGUACUGGAGAGGUAAGCGGAACUACAAGUGUAGAGGUGAAAUUCGUAGAUAUUUGUAGGAAUGCCGAUGGGGAAGCCAGCUUACUGGACAGAUACUGACGCUGAAGCGCGAAAGCGUGGGUAGCAAACAGGAUUAGAUACCCUGGUAGUCCACGCCGUAAACGAUGAUUACUAGGUGUUGGGGGUCGAACCUCAGCGCCCAAGCAAACGCGAUAAGUAAUCCGCCUGGGGAGUACGUACGCAAGUAUG